This 1420-nucleotide long non-coding RNA is filed under the name Gossypium barbadense (sea-island cotton). RNAcentral describes it as "long non-coding RNA (GBAR_LNC012993)". The record is from RNAcentral. Lineage: Eukaryota; Viridiplantae; Streptophyta; Magnoliopsida; Malvales; Malvaceae.
CCUUACCUCUCUCCAUAGCUGGGGUUUCUUCAACUUUCAAGCUUUAUAGUAAGUGAUUCCAAGCCCCGUUUUUAAUGAUCUUUACGUUUUUUAAGUCCCGGUAGCUCGAUAAAGCUUAUGCUAGCAAUAAUUUAAGUUAGGAAUCAAAUUUGGAAAAAUACCCAUAGGUGAAAUUUGUGUAUUUUGAUGUUUUAUGAUGGAAUAUAAGGCUUUAAAUUAUGUUAGACAACUUGUGCUACUUGGUUUUAAGUGAAAACGAGUAAAAAGGCUUAAUCGGUAAAAAUACCUAAUAGUCAUAAGUACAUGUUAGUGUCUGAAUUUGAUGUUGUCAUAGAAGGGAAAAAUGAUCAGUAUGUCAUAAAACAUAAGAAAAUAGGAUGAAGUUUAAUUUACGAGCCUUGGGGCAAAAGUGCAAAUAUGUGAAAGUUUAGGGGCAAAAAUGUGAUUUUUCCAAAGUUUGAGUAAAGGGUUGUUUUGAUAAAUGUUGAUAUUAAAUAAGCUAAAUUUGCUAUUAUAGAUCAAGAAGAGCGAAAUUCGGGAGUAGAUCGGGGAAAAGAAAAAGUAAAGGACUAAAUUGUAAACUUUAGUCACAUUUUGUAUCGAGGUAAGUUUACAGUAAAUAAAUGCAAUAUUCUUUUAUUUUACAUUAUUAUUGUCAAUUUCCAGCAUUUAUAUAUUUAUGUUAUGAAAAUAUUUAAAGUCGAAUUUAAGGUGAAGUGACAGAGGAAAAGUGUUAGAAAGCCCCGGUUGAACCCUAGGAAUGUUAGGAUAUUAGGGUUGACAGGACAUAACAGAAAUGAGCCAUGUAAGUCCAUAUUAAAAAUAUGGCUUUGGAGACAGGAUUGAGCCAUGUAAGUCCAUAUUAUAUAUGGCAUUGGAGACAGGAAUAAUUCAUGUAAGUCCAUGUCAAAGACAUGGCAUUGGCAGGGUAUUGAUAGACAGGAAUGACCCUAGUAUCCUUAGUAUUCCGAGUGGUUCAACGGGUCAGAAUACGAGUUAAAUUACAGUAAAUUAACAGCAAAGGAAAAGUAGAUUAUAUUUAUGAAAAAGGAAAGGUCAGGUAAGAAAGAAGGUAAGGGAAUAAAGAAGAAGAUAGAAAUUGAGAAGUAAAGAAAUUUAUGAUGUUAGAUGAUAUUAUGCAUAAUUAUCCAUUAUGUUGAAUGUUGUGAUUUAUUUGCUUGUAAGCUUACUAAGCCUAGUGCUUAAUCUCUUUAUUUUCUUCUUCUUAUAGUACUUAUCUAGCCACUCGGGGAUCGAAGGAAACGUCGGAGGCUGAUCACACUAUCAAAGAAAUAACUAGGUAUAAUUAGACGUUUUGUUUUGUGUAUGGCAUGUAUAGAAACUUAGCUACUUUUGGUAUAAUAUGAACAAUGAAUGAUGUGUAAAUACUUGCUAGUGAUUAGCUAAUAAAAAUGGCCGA